ACCACUUUCCAGGACAUAUUUUCUCUCCCAGCUGUCAAAAUAUUUAAUGCUUUGAAUUAGCAUUUCAGUUAAGUGCUGUAUUUUGUUUCUGCAGUUUUGAGAAGUCAUACCUUGGUCACAUAAUAGCAGAUUUCUGUGAACUUCUGGGAUAAACCGUGGCUUUAUUCAGGGUACUCAAAGCCUAAAGUGCUGUGAUUUUCAAAAGUGCACUGAGGAGCUCAGGCUGUAAGUUCACCUUCCUGUGUUGGACAUGUGGACGGAAUUAUCACUUUCAAGCUCUAGCUGUGCCUUUUGGGAAGAGAAUGUGAACAGAUGAAAGGAAGGAAAAAUUCCUUUCCAGCUGGAAAGAAAGAGUGGGUGCAGACAUGGGGAUCAGCAGAGCUCAAAAUGAGAGCACUUAUGGGAAAGGGAAGAGCCUUCAUCAAGCUGCGGGUCACCUCUAGCUUGUGCAUUGUGGAAUAAAACUGUCCUGAGGCAAAGGAAGCAGGAGAAGAAAGCAAUGAUGCCCAGAUCAUAGCUAUCUGGGUACUUCAGGUAGCCAGCAGAAAGGAGUUCCAGCAUCAGUGCUCAAGACCAGUGAAUGGAAAGUAGCAGAAGUUGGAAAGAAAGCUACAGGGGGAUCGAUUUGCAGCCAGUGCUAGUUGGAAUAGCAAAAAGGAGAGAAAUCCCUGGAAGCAGCAGGAGAGUUGAGCCUGGCAGGACAGGAGGAGAAAGGACUUGAUAAGAAGAUGCAGCUUUUUCCUUUGCUUUCCUGAUGAGUUGAACUCAAAGCAGCAGCACACUUCUACUGCAGCUAUGAAAGUUGUCUGAAUCUGGACAAGAAAACAUACUAUGAACUUUACAAGUGAUGGGCUUUUGUAUGGACUCGUGAUGGUCAUGUGAUACACAGUUUUGAGGUAAGUUUUGAAUUUGUGCAAAGAAAUUCAGGAACUGUUCAGUUCCUCAAGAAAAGUGAGAGAAACUCAGUGGUGAAUAAAAAGAUACACAUACUUGAAAUAUAUUGCAGCAUGAACAAGAACAUAUGUAAACAACAACACAGCAAAAGCCCCGGCUCAGUCCACCAGUCAGUGUCAUGAACUUCAUGCUGGCUGCUGUCUCUCAGUGUUUAUCUUUUCAUCUUCACUUGUUUGGCACAUGCAUUACUAGACCCUUGCUGGAGAUCUAUGUCUUCAAAAAGACCUCUCCUCCUUGAAUUCCAGAGAAAUGAAGCACUGCAUAGAACAGUUUUUAGGUUAGUAGAACUAAUGUUAAUUUCAGAAGCAGCUACCAAUUUUUGAUCAGAGAACUAAUUUUUCCAAUAAUGCUACAAAAUCACAGUGCACAAGGUGUAUAUUUCAAGACUGCCAAAAGCUUUGUGGACAAAACAAGUGAGAACAGCACUGUGAACAAAAGUUUAUACUGUAAAGAGAGAGGAGACAGCGACUUAAAUAUAUUAGAUUCAGAAAAGGUUUCUAUAACAGUCAGCACAGGUAGAACACUUCCUAUCAAUUUCUGAGUAGGAAUGAAUUUGCAUUACACUUUGCGACCAAAACUGACAGCAGCCAUCCAAGGUAUCUUUGACUGGUCUACUCUUCUAAUGGUCAGCUGUGAGCUCUGGAGGAAGUCGAGAAGCUGUCCUGCUGGUAUAGACCCAGAGUCCAGACAGACUUACUGUUUGCUGUAGCUGUUGUUACUACAAAGAUGUAGGCUUGGCACUCUUCUGUUGAAGUUGCAAUGGGACAUAGAAAUCAAUACACACAGAGUGAC
Gallus gallus (chicken) is the source of this 1746-nucleotide long non-coding RNA. The record is from Ensembl. Lineage: Eukaryota; Metazoa; Chordata; Aves; Galliformes; Phasianidae.